CCUACGGGGGGCAGCAGUGAGGAAUAUUGGUCAAUGGGCGGAAGCCUGAACCAGCCAAGUCGCGUGAGGGAUGAAGGCCCUGCGGGUCGUAAACCUCUUUUGCCGGGGAGCAGAGGGCCGGACGUGUCCGGGCCGGGAGAGAACCCGGAGAAAAAGCAUCGGCUAACUCGGUGCCAGCAGCCGCGGUAAUACGGAGGAUGCGAGCGUUAUCCGGAUUUAUUGGGGUGACGGGGUGCGUAGGCGGGCAUUGAAGCCGGCGGUCAAUUGUCGGGGCUCACCCCCGGCCUGCCGUCGGAACUGGGUGCCUUGAGUGGGCUAGACGUAUGCGGAAUGCGUGGUGUAGCGGUGAAAUGCAUAGAUAUCACGCAGAACCCCGAUUGCGAAGGCAGCAUACCGGCGCCCUACUGACGCUGAGGCACGAAAGUGCGGGUAUCGAACAGGAUUAGAUACCCCAGUAGUC
This 460-nucleotide ribosomal RNA is filed under the name uncultured bacterium. RNAcentral's name for it is "partial 16S ribosomal RNA". It matches the Rfam family "Bacterial small subunit ribosomal RNA", at positions 338 to 795 of the family's 1533-position model. The record is from RNAcentral.